This 440-nucleotide ribosomal RNA is filed under the name uncultured bacterium. RNAcentral's name for it is "partial 16S ribosomal RNA". It matches the Rfam family "Bacterial small subunit ribosomal RNA", at positions 338 to 795 of the family's 1533-position model. The record is from RNAcentral.
CCUACGGGAGGCAGCAGUGGGGGAUAUUGCACAAUGGGGGAAACCCUGAUGCAGCGACGCCGCGUGUGGGAAGACGGUCCUCUGGAUUGUAAACCACUGUCCCCAGGGACGAAGAUGACGGUACCUGGGGAGGAAGCUCCGGCUAACUACGUGCCAGCAGCCGCGGUAAUACGUAGGGAGCGAGCUUUGUCCGGAAUUACUGGGUGUAAAGGGAGCGUAGGCGGGACUGCAAGUUGGGUGUCAAAUCUACCGGCUCAACCGGUAGCCGCACUCAAAACUGCAGUUCUUGAGUGAAGUAGAGGCAGGCGGAAUGCCUAGUGUAGCGGUGAAAUGCGUAGAUAGUAGGAGGAACACCGGUGGCGAAGGCAGCCUGCUGGGCUUUUACUGACGCUGAGGCUCGAAAGUGUGGGGAGCGAACAGGAUUAGAUACCCCGGUAGUC